Long non-coding RNA from Eptesicus fuscus (big brown bat), 684 nucleotides. RefSeq lists it as uncharacterized. The record is from RefSeq and is a predicted model, not a curated record. The transcript is spliced from 2 exons. Lineage: Eukaryota; Metazoa; Chordata; Mammalia; Chiroptera; Vespertilionidae.
UUAAGCAGCUUCACCCGGCCCGCAGGCCGGAUGCUCAUCGCCACCCUUAGAAGCAGGAAUUGUAACCAAGCCCAUUUCCAGAGAGAGAAACAGAGGUCCAAAGAGAUCAAGGCAUUCACCUAAAGUCACACAGCAGGUCAUGCUGGUGGCAGAAUCCACACCCAGGGCUGGAAGGCUGCAAAAAUAACUAUUAUCUACUCACUCCUGCCUGCUUCUAAGCAUGCGUCCGGAUUAACCCUUUCAUCCUCACCUCGACACUUUGAAGGAGGCUCUGCUGAAACGAGAUAUUGUAGGAAGGUGGUGCAGUGCAAUGGUUCAGCGCUUGGACUCCAAUGUUCACGGCCUAGGUUCACAUCCUGGCCCCCUUCUGGCUGCGCAGCCGAUGCAGCAAGGAAAGUUCUACUUUGCCCAAGAGCCGGGACCAGAGCGCCUGGAAGUGAGGAAAGAGGGCGUGCUGAGAAGCCUGGAUUCCAUUGUGCUGGAGAGCCCCUUGACAGUGGGACGCCAUCAUAAAUGAUAGCCAUUGGUAAUGUUAGGAUUUGGUGAAACCAGAGCAGGUUUGGAGCCAGUUCCCCAAGAGAAGGUCAACACCCACUGCUGGCCUGUGAGAUUGUUUUAUGUGGCCUAGGGAUGGCAGAUUCGUUUAAAUGUGCAUCUUAAAAAUACACAUACCCCGUUCAUGAA